RNAcentral lists this ribosomal RNA (225 nucleotides) under uncultured bacterium. Its description in RNAcentral is "partial 16S ribosomal RNA". It matches the Rfam family "Bacterial small subunit ribosomal RNA", at positions 524 to 747 of the family's 1533-position model. The record is from RNAcentral.
UACGUAGGGGGCAAGCGUUGUCCGGAUUUAUUGGGCGUAAAGAGCGUGUAGGCGGCCAGGUAGGUCUGCUGUGAAAACUCGAGGCUUAACCUCGAGCUGUCGGCGGAAACCAUCUGGCUAGAGUCCGGAAGAGGAGAAUGGAAUUCCCGGUGUAGCGGUGAAAUGCGCAGAUAUCGGGAAGAACACCCGUGGCGAAGGCGGCUCUCGUGGUACGUGACUGACGCU